RNA transcript from Drosophila hydei, 2198 nucleotides. It is a transcript of the gene named phosphatidylinositol 3,4,5-trisphosphate 3-phosphatase and dual-specificity protein phosphatase PTEN, with no coding region annotated. The transcript is spliced from 12 exons. Lineage: Eukaryota; Metazoa; Arthropoda; Insecta; Diptera; Drosophilidae. The record is from RefSeq and is a predicted model, not a curated record.
UAAUGAAAAAGAAAUUAAAACAAAUAGUUAUAAUAACACAAAAAUUAUAAUUUUUAAAAGACAAUAUCAUAUUUGGAGAGUAAUAUGGCAAACACAAUCUCCAUAAUGUCCAAUGCGUUACGAAAUGUUGUGAGCAAGAAACGCAUACGAUACAAAGAAAAAGGAUUUAAUUUGGAUCUUUCUUAUAUUUGCCCGAAAAUUAUUGCGAUGGGAUAUCCUGCGCCGGACAUUAUCGAAGGCAUUUACAGAAAUCGCCUUGAGGAUGUUUAUAAAUUUAUGGAAGAAAGUCAUGGAGGGCAUUACAAAAUAUAUAAUCUGUGUCAAGAACGGAGCUACGACAUAAAUAAAUUUCAUGGGAAUGUUGCAACAUACCCAUUUGAGGAUCAUAACCCUCCCCCCAUUGUACUGAUACAACGUUUUUGUGAAGACGUUGAGUCCUGGCUUAAUAGAGAUCCAUUAAAUGUCGUAGCUGUGCAUUGCAAAGCUGGAAAGGGAAGAACUGGUACAAUGAUAUGUGCAUACUUGGUUCAUAGUAAAUUCCUGAAUACAGCAGAUGAAGCGUUGGCUUUUUAUGAUGAAAAACGUACAAUAGAUCGGAAAGGAGUUACAAUUCCAUCUCAACGUAGAUAUGUUCAGUAUUAUUCAAAUUUAAUCCCAGAUAUACAUUAUGAAGUAGUCAGUCUUUACAUUUCUGAAAUCCGUUUUACUGAGACAAAUUACUUGCAUAAUCUUGGUACAGUGCAAUGUUCAAUUUUCGACAGGCAAGAGUCUUCAGCAGAAAAACUUAAGGCGCAUGAGCUGAAAACGUGGACAAUUGAUUUUCAAAAAACUUCAAUAUUGGAUAUAACUAAUUCGCCUUUAACAGUUUCUGGUGAUAUCAAAGUUGAACUUACUCAAAAGUCAUCAAGAAAGAUUAUUUGCAGCUUUUGGGUUAAUACAUUCUUCAUGCAAAAUGAUGCGGUUCGCGUUCCCGACGGAAACACCGUAAAAUUUAUGCAUACCUUAAAUAAAUCUGAAAUUGAUGGUGCACAUAAAGACAAAGAUCAUAAAUCGUUUUCGGAGGACUUUAAGAUCUCUCUCGUAUUUAUAAAAGAAGAAAAGCGCUCUGACAGUAUACGCACUGAACCCUCAGUAGAUAACAAUAGGAGCAGUAAACAAAGCUCAGAAUUUUUUCUUGGUGAUAAUGAUACGAAUCUAAAUAGUGGGGGUUCUGUUUUAAACUCUCCGUCCUCAAGUCGUUUGUUUGAAGGUCCAUUUCAUACCAGUGAUGAAAGAGGUGAAACUCAAUCUCACCUAAUAGCACAUAACAGAAAACUUAUUAAAAAUCAACAUAAAAAAUCAACUAUCUCAAAAUUUCCUGCAAUGGCAUCUAAACGAAAACAAUCUUCUUCAAAAUGCUUACUAAGCGUUAAUAAUACCUCGUCAGGCAAGGACAACAAAAAACAGCAUAUUUUUAAUCAGCCGUCCGGUAAACAAUUCGAUAUAGUGCCAACUAAAUGGCCUAGUAAUAUGUAUGAAAAAACCUCUGAGGGUCUACGUAUAUUUGAUCGAUGUAAUAUUUCUAACAUUUCUGGCGGAGAUAAAAUUUUCGAACAGAAGUCACACAAUACUUGCAAACGAUCAUCUUCUGAUUUAAAUCAGAGUGGGGAAGAAGAAGACGAAGAUUGGGAAUCCGCAACAUGACGUAUCACCAAAAAAACGAUUACAGUGUCUACCGCACUUUAAAUGAAAUGAUUUAAAAAAAAUCCAAGUCAGAAGAGGGAGAGUGAAAUCUUAUUUAAAAGCAUAGGUUAUGUAGUGGCCAAAAUUGUGGACUUAAUAUCAAUAUUGACCUUAAUUUUUAUAGCUAUGGAGCUAGCCGGCAUUGACGUAAGGAAUCAGAUACCAAAAUUUUCUGUUAUAAAAAGUUCUAUAAAUUGUUGCUAAGGCCUGCUGGCUCUACCCUAAGCAGCAAAUUCAACAGAAAUGUGAUAUAUAUCCGGGGUGAUAUCUACAUCAACAUGACAAGAGGUGAUAACCCACCACUUCACUUUUUUGGCUGCCAUUAUGUUAUUUAUUUAUUUUUAAAAUGUGAAAUACAACAAGCAUGUACAGUAUAUGUUGUUAAAAAUAAGCUUAAAUCAACAGUUGAUUACACAUUAAUUGUUUUAGUCUAAAUUCAAAUUAUAAGAGUAAAAUUUGUAGCUCAAAGGAAACCC